Pelobates cultripes (western spadefoot toad) is the source of this 388-nucleotide non-coding RNA. Lineage: Eukaryota; Metazoa; Chordata; Amphibia; Anura; Pelobatidae. The record is from the annotation of a GenBank genome assembly.
GUCUGUUAAAGUUCGUUCCUCGGUGUGCGAUAGUUGCGCCCUUUUCUUGAUCAGUCAGGUAGUAGGUGGGGUUCUCGGUACUAAAUGGGAUCGUUGAUUCAGGGUCCCAGGUGUGUUCGACUUGUGGAACAGAGGUUGCAGUUGGUGUUUCAGUAAGGCCCAGUGUGUAGAGUAUUGCAGGUGCCUCCGAUUCAGUUGUGAGCUUGUGGGUCGUCCCAUUGUGUGUUAAUAGUAGGGAUCUUGGCGUGCCCUAUCUGUAUGUUACCCCCGCGGAGCGCAGGCGGCUGGUGAGUGACUGCAGUGAUUUACGCCAUUGAAGUGUAGUUUUAGUGAGGUCCUGGUAGAGGGUUAGGUGCGAUCCAUCAAAUGGUAAUGGGGUUUUACCCCU